This 175-nucleotide unclassified non-coding RNA is filed under the name uncultured Orbilia. RNAcentral describes it as "sequence contains ITS2". Lineage: Eukaryota; Fungi; Ascomycota; Orbiliomycetes; Orbiliales; Orbiliaceae. The record is from RNAcentral.
CAACCCCUCAGCUAAGCUUUGCUGCCGCGCUGGUGUUGGGCUCGGGCAACUCCCUAACCGGAACCCGGCCUUAAAGUUGCACGCUCUGCGGACCCUCCCGCCUCCAGAACAUAGUAUGACUGCUAGCUGUUUGAAAGGUGCGUUGGGCUUCCGCCUGAACAAACUCUCAACUAAG